RNAcentral lists this long non-coding RNA (311 nucleotides) under Brassica napus (rape). Its description in RNAcentral is "long non-coding RNA (BNAP_LNC004963)". The record is from RNAcentral. Lineage: Eukaryota; Viridiplantae; Streptophyta; Magnoliopsida; Brassicales; Brassicaceae.
UGAGCCGCCAAGUAGUGUUGGUGGUGGAGAUAAGACUAAUGGAAGGGGUGGUGAUGGAAGAGAAGAAGAUAAUGGUGGUGGAAGAGGAGCAGAAGGUGGCGGGAGGGGUAGAACCGGAGUAGGUGGAGAUAGGAUUGGAACCGGAGAAGGCGUUGCUGAUGGUGUUGGUGGUGGUAGCACUGGAGUAGGUGGAGGUAGGAUUGGAACCGGAGAAGGCGUUGCCGAUGGUGUUGGUGGUGGCUGAGUUGGAAAUAAAGGUGGUAAUGGAGGGAGUAUAAUCGGUGUAGGGACAAAUGGGAUAACGGGUGCUA